UCCCGUUUCCUGUCUCCGCUCGAUAUCGAUGAAGGCUAUCACGAGUGCAAGGGGCGCUCGGCCUUAUUAAACCUAACCCCUUUCUCUCACAGGGGGCAAUCGAUCCCUGGCCCGUGUCGCCGGACAGGUCUCCGUUCUCCUCCCCCGCCAGUGCCGGAAAGUCCAUCUCCGCGACCGCUGCGUGGAAACGCUCUUUGAAAAACGGAUUUCACCUUUCCAGGUGCCGGAUUCUGGGGUUCAGGUACCUCCUUGGUGUUAGUGUCGAGGGCCAUCUUUUCUAGCUUCGUUUCCUCCAAGCAAACAGGAAAAAGAAGACGAUCUAUCUUUGAACUGAUUAAGGUGGAUGUUCCAACUGGUAUUUGUGUUGAUUAUUUGACAGAGGAGUUUGUUCGUAUGAUGAUGUAAAUCAACUAUUAAUGAAGGCAGUGGAGCAAGUCUUGGUAGGAUCCAUCAGGUGAGAAAUGGCACUUGAAGCAAGCUGCUGAAAUUAUGCAGCUAAAUUGUUUAUGCUUGACUUCCACCUUUUGAGUUUUGUACUGAGUUUAAUGUUUGUUAUGUUCCAUAUGAUUGUGGAUGUGGUAGGUCCAACAAUAUAAACAUGAACAAGAAUGCAAUGUAAUUGUUGCUCAAACCCUUGAGGGUAAAAUCUCUUAGAUUGAGACUUUUAUGGAUUAAGUGAAGAGUUUAUUGCGCUUGUGAAUGAACAUAAGGUUUUACCGAUCCUUGAUCCUAUGUUUGACAUUUUUUUAUCUCUUUAGUUGUCUUACCAAGAUUUUCUAUCUAAACUUUCUUACUAGUACUAAAAAUUCUAUGCACACUAUAGCUUCUUGAAGAAAAAUACGAGAAUCAUCCAGAGGUUUUAUGGGUAAAUAUUGAACUGAAAAGGGUGCUGAUGAGCUUGAUGACUAUGUUGCAAAUUUGCAAUGCUACAUGGUUUCCUUUUCUUCUUCUGAAUU
Musa acuminata AAA Group (dessert banana) is the source of this 956-nucleotide long non-coding RNA. RefSeq lists it as uncharacterized. The transcript has 3 exons. Lineage: Eukaryota; Viridiplantae; Streptophyta; Magnoliopsida; Zingiberales; Musaceae. The record is from RefSeq and is a predicted model, not a curated record.